Molecule: unclassified non-coding RNA, 4270 nt
Filed under: Dermacentor andersoni
Lineage: Eukaryota; Metazoa; Arthropoda; Arachnida; Ixodida; Ixodidae
Description: choline/ethanolamine kinase-like
Source: RNAcentral
GCGUCCGGGCCGAGGAUGCCGGCCGCGGUGCGCUUCGUGCGUCCCAUCAUGGGUCCGUGCAGGCCGACGCCGAACUCGCCGUGGACCGCCGAAAGCCGCGCGCUGUGGGCGUCUGUCGGCGGCGGCACGACGUCCGGUGGCAGCGCAAGGGGCCGUCCCGCUGGUGAGCCAGAUGAAGCCUACAUCACAGAGGACAUGCGCGACAAGGCGUACAACAUCUGCCGCGAGUUCCUGAGCGGCACGUGGAAAAGCAUCUCGAGCCGGGACAUGGUGUUCAAGUCCGUGAGUGGUGGCCUGAGCAACCUCCUGUACUACUGCUCUCUGCCCGAGACGCACACGCCCCUGUACGGCGAGCCCAGCCAGGUGCUGAUGCGCAUGUACGGCCAGAUCCCCAGCGAGGGCAGUGACACCACCGUCACCGAGAGUGUCAUCUGUACUCUGCUGUCAGAGCGAAACCUGGGGCCCAAGCUCUACGGGGUCUUCCCAGGAGGGCGCCUUGAGGAGUACAUUCCUGCGCGGGCAUUGACGCUCCAGCAGUUGAAGGACCCGGAAAUAUCACUGCUUAUUGCAAAAAAGUUGGCAAGGGUCCAUGUAUUGCAAGCCCCCUUGGUCAAGGAGCCCACCUGGCUUUUCAACAACAUGAACAGGUGGCUCAAGUAUGCACACUCCAUCAAGGUGGACACUGUGCCCAUUAAGCAGCACACUAUGGCUGUCAAGCUGCUCACAACUGACCUUGCAGCUGAAGUCAACUGGCUGAAGGAGUUCUUGGGAAAGAUCGAGUCUCCGAUUAUGUUUUGCCACAAUGACCUUCAGGAAGGAAACAUUCUUUUCAUGGAUGCUCCGGGACCUAAGGAAGAGAACAUGGUGUUCAUUGAUUACGAGUACUGUGCCUACAACUAUAGGGGCUUUGACAUAGCAAACCACUUUUGCGAAUGGAUGUACGACUACUCUUACCCUGAGCAUCCUUACUUCAAGGCCCAGCCUGGAGACUAUCCAUCUGUAGUGCAUCAGCGGCUGUUCAUUGAGCGAUACCUGACCACAUACAUGAAGUGCCAGGAGAUGACGACUGAGCCUAAGCAGCCACCAAACCUUUGCACCGUAGAUUAUGUGCUCCAUGAGGCACGAGUCUUUGCGCUGGCCUCUCACCUCUUCUGGACUCUCUGGAGCAUUUUCAACGCUCACACGUCAAAGAUCAAGUUCGGCUAUUGGGAGUAUGGCCAGGCACGACUUGAUGCAUUCUUGGCACUGAAGUGCGAACUGCUCCAUGGAAACGAUACGCCAGAAGUGGCACUUUCCCCCAACCAUACAUCACAGAGGGUUGUCAAGAUGUAGGGCAACAAUGAGCAGCUGUCUCCUGGAUGCCUGCUUUAAAUCCUCUCCUCAUUGGUGCAUUCAAGGUGUGCGCAAUGACUGAGCAACGCCGAAGACUUCCAUUGCAUCCACCACCUUCGAAGUGCAAAUCCCAAACCAAGUCUCUUAAGCUUCCUGAACAAGAGAAUGGCUGAUGUUUCAUGUCGUGGCGAGGCAUGUUCGACGAGUCUGAACUGCUCUAUCAUGUGCUGUGUGCGCUUUGCUGGCAAGGCUUUCACCAGGCUAACAUGAAAGAGACUUGUCUCGAGUGUCUGGCCAUUUCACAUCUGUCCUUUCAUAUUUGGUAUGGGUUUGUGUGCUUGUAUGAAUAGACCAAAGGGACCCGGUACCUUUCUUCCUUUUCUGUUGCGUUUGAAAUUUGUGAGAAAAGAGCUUCACUACGGGCACUUUGCUCAUGUCCAUGUGCCACUGUGGAAACGAUGUGUGGUGACAAACAUUUCGCCAGUGUCAUCCUAUUUUUGUGGAAGUGAACUGAACAUGUUCCUUCCACAGACAGUGCUGCCAUCCUGCAGGGGGAGUGUGACUUCAGCACCAAUUUGGGUGAACUGUGCUGUUCGAACACACUCACUCCUGGCUGCAAACCAUUUGUACUCGGGAGGCAAGUGUCUUGCUGCCCCUUCUUGUGUCUUAGCUGGGCUCUCCCAGAGCCAUCGUUGCAUUUCACCGUCGUUCCUCAAGUGUGCUUGGAAGUGGCCUCAGAGAGGUGUUUGUGCGUGGAAAAGCACUGGGUGUGCCUUACUAAAAGUGCUGAGUAAAGUUCCCAUGAUUGGAGUGUGAAGGAGUCUGUAGGAAAGCUACAAAGGUGACAGGUGCCACACUUCAACACAUUUGUUUCUUUUUUUGCCUCUAAAGGAGCUUAAAAAGGUGCCACUACACGCACUGUACGUUGCAGUGCUAGUGGAAGCAUAAUGGGUCCGCACUCAAGAAUGCCUUUAGCGUGCAUUAUGUGCUGCCUUUAUCUGACAAUACCUUGCACGGUGCUCUCUGAUGAAAGUGAUGCACCUUUUGAGGUGUGCGGGUGCGAAAAGCGAAAAGGUCAUUGCGCUAAGCUCUUGCCACAUAUGCUAUGUACUACAUGGUUUAAAUUGUGAGGUGCAGUUUGUCUGCUUGUGACGGGACACCUUGUCACAAAUGACUUGUAUUGUGGUUCUCAAAAGCCUUAGGUCAUCGAAUAAAAUGGGCUUUUAUAAAUGCUGGACCCAAAACUAGCAGGGGUCAUCUGCCCUGCAAACAAGAAAAGCCCAGGGUGCAAGCCAUUUGUUUCCUCUAUUUAUGAAGCUCUAUGUGGCUGGAGCACAGUACUAUGCUCCAUUGACUCUUUGUGCUGCUUGUAGUAUUUUGGUGCCUCAACAGUGGCUAUCAUGCUAGAGUAUGCGUUCCUUUUAACAUGCAGUGUGGGUUAGUUUUCUGUCUCUAAGUGUAUGUGCAUGCAAGUGUUGCUGACAGGACUGGAACAAACGGCACUUGUAGGCGACAAAAGCGCAUUUGUGAGCGUGUACAUUAUUGUGUCUUGUUUUUGCGAGUCAGCUGUACGAGAUUGCCGUGCAAGCUUCUUCUACAUUGCGCAGGGCUGCUGACUCAACAGAAUUGAGCAUAAUGCUUUAAGCAAAAAAGAGAGUGAAUGUGAGAAGCACCGGAUCACUAAAAGAAACAAGAAUGGUGCUCUAGUCAUUGCAUUUUUCUUUUUAUGACAGUUUGUUUUUCCCUCCCACCAAAGUUAAUGAGCGAAAAAGCUGAUUGGGCUUUCCUGUUCCCAAUUGGAGGGAUGGUUUUGUCCCAGCUGUUUUGACCACUGCCCACAUUCCACCGAUUGUCAACACUGAAGCCUGAGUUUUAUAUACGGGGUGCAAGGAGCAUGCUCCCAAAACCCCAUCAGAUCCACUUGAUGCAAACUGCCACCUUAUCAUUUGCACAACAGAAGUUGUGUUUGGGCGACCAACAGGAAAAAGAACAUCUGGCAUGCUUUUGAGGAGUACAGUUAAUGUUUUUGCUGCAGAAUGGUGAGGGGUGGCAUGAGAUGUAUUAUUAAAUGCUGAAGUUGCUCGCCAUGUGUGAGCAAGGGAGAUUCGAACUAUUACAUCUGCUGCAUUUGUUGUUAGAGUACUGAUUAGGUGUUCCUUUUCAUAUUGGACAACCCCAUAUUGUAUAAAAUUACAUCUGACAGUUUACAAGACAAAAAUGAGAACAGUAUUUAGGUGGUUUGCAUUAGCAUCAAAUUGCUUGUUUAAUGCACGAUAUUUGAUAGAUGUGCUAUGCAUAGCUUGCUUCUAGUUGAACUGAUUGAUGCCACGUGCCCUUGCCGUAUUUUUUUUCUUCUUUUUCACAUUUAGACACAUCUUCACACUUGAAGGAAACCUACUGCCACUUUCAGUGUUAUUUUUCAGGUGCAGUGCUUUGGUCUAGCACGUUGUGCUGCUCUUUCUGAGUUGAAUGUUCCUGCGUGUUCUCAAUGUUUUGGCAGCAUUUAAUUAGCGGGAGACUUGAGGUUGCAAAUAGCUUCAAAGAGUAGCAUCCUUUAAGAUCCGUGUGUUGCAUGUUUUUAAGCAUUGCUGUGCAAUUUUGUUUCUCCCUUUCCUGCUUACUCAAGUGCAAUGUUUUUGUGAUUCGUUUAUGUACUGCAGCGGAUGUGUCACUUCAACUAAGAAUCCUGUUCACCUGACAGGUGUGGAGUUGUUCAUUUAAGACAAAGCCCAUAAUAGUGCUGGGAAGGACCACUUGCAGAUGGAUUUUUUUCCCCCUUCCCGCCUGGAAACCAGUUUCUAUCUGUGUCACACAUUUCUGAGUUUGGUACUACUCAUGACCUAGUCUCCCAGACUGAACUAUUUUUUAGCUUUUCACACGAGCUCUCUCGAUGUACACUGUGAUGUGUCUGUAAAUAAAGGUGAUACUGUGAUUUACA